CUGGAAGUAGCGAAGGAUAGACUCUGGAAAUUCUGUUGAACUUUGCCGAUGUUCAAACUUUUGAAGUGUUUGAUUCCGGAAGUACUGAAGAAUAGACUCUGGAAAUUCGGUCGAACCUUUGGCGAUGUUAAAACUUUCGAAGUGCUCGACUUUUAUAAACAGGUUCGUAUGCAUGCUAGUGUGUGUGUGGGGUGUGUGUGUGCGUGGGAGUGCAUCAGAACGGGGUUUUACGGUGUUGACCUUUGACCUAGGCCUGACUCAGAGUGCUUCAUAUUCUACGUGAAAGGAAAAGAUCGUGUGUCCCGGGACCGAGAACUUGAAAAGCAAAACGGUUCCUUUUUCUGCAUCGAAAAAAAACCCAGCUGUACAUCCGUUUGACAUUACCCAAUAUUGAAUCUUUUCAUGUUCUAACAUUUUUUCUAUUCUUCCCAAAAAAGGGUGAGCUUUUUUAGGCGCAUUAGGACAAACAUCAGCCAUGUUGUAAGCUCGCACACGUUGUUCUAAGUACAGAGUAUUAUAAAACCUAGAGGGAUGCUCGACUUUUAUAAGCAGGUUCGUAUGCAUGCGUUUGUACGUGUACGUGCACAUGUGUGUUUGUGCGGGGGUGUGUGUGUGUGUGUGUGUGUGUGUCAUAUUUUUGUUUGGAUGUGGAAUACACAUGGCCAUACCAUGUAUGGUAACGUUUCUGUCAUGAAUGGAUGUGAUCCAGAUUUAACAUAACUAUAUAUAUUUUUAUGAUCUACCACAGAGAGUUUCCUAUUCUAUGUGAAAAGAAAGAACAUGUGUGUGCAACUUGUGUGGGUGGAAAACAUAUGGCCGUACCAGGUAUGGUAACGUUUCUGUCACGAAUGGAUGUGAUCCAGAUUUAACAUAACUAUAUAUAUUUUUAUGACCUACCACAGAGUGUUAGAAAGAACAUGUGUGCAACGUGUGUCGGGUGGAAAACACAUGGCCGUACCAUGUAUGGUAACGUUUCUGUCACGAAUGGAUGUGAUCCAGAUUUAACAUAACUAUAAAUAUUUUUAUGAUCAUGACCUUUGAUCUAGAUAUAGAGUUAGAAUGUGUAUCUUUUUGACCUUUG
Ictalurus punctatus (channel catfish) is the source of this 1081-nucleotide long non-coding RNA. Lineage: Eukaryota; Metazoa; Chordata; Actinopteri; Siluriformes; Ictaluridae. The record is from Ensembl.